RNAcentral lists this long non-coding RNA (732 nucleotides) under Olea europaea subsp. europaea. Lineage: Eukaryota; Viridiplantae; Streptophyta; Magnoliopsida; Lamiales; Oleaceae. The record is from RNAcentral.
UUUCCUCUUCUUAAACUUGGUCCGGUAAUUAAACCAAAAAAAAAAAAGAAAAAGAAAAAAGGAACGCGUUCCAAAUCCUUCUCACUUGAUGCAACACUAAUUAGAUUAUCCUUAUUUCUUUUCUCUACAACUUCAGCGUCAUCAUCUUCGAUGAGUAAUGAAACAUAUUUCUCUGUAUUUGGAAAAAAAAUGCAAUUUAUUACAAUAAAGUAACAUUCCUCAUCAAUCAAAUAUAUAAACAUAAUGUGGAAAUUAACCAAAUGUCUAAAAACUCCUAAAUUUUUUUUUGCAGAUUCAUAUAUAAAACAAUGUCUCUAGCAAAAAGUUUAAACAAUCGUGAUGUUCAAGCUUUAAUAAGCUCCAAGUGUAAAACUUCUUGACCUGGGAAAACAACUAACAGAUAUUGCUAGGAUUUAAUAAAUGGUUUUACCCAUUCCUGACAAGUAUACCCAAAAUGAACUCUACCCACUUCUUUUCCAACUCAAUUACUGGUUUAAAGAGGUUGGAUUGGGUUGGGUUGGGUUGGUCGGUUUUGGGCUUCUACCCAAUUAAACCCAAUCCAACUUGAGGUUGGGCAUGUACCUAAGGAUGAAAGUAUAAGAAACGAGAUAUUGGAAGAGGCUCACUCUACCCCCUAUGUUGCACAUCUAGGCAGUACAAAAUAUAUCGAGAUCUUCUCUCGAUACAUUUUUGUGAAGAAAUAUGAAGAGAGAAAUGGGUCUAUUCAUGGAG